GACGAACGCUGGCGGCGUGCUUAACACAUGCAAGUCGAACGGAAAGGCCCUGCUUUUGUGGGGUGCUCGAGUGGCGAACGGGUGAGUAACACGUGAGUAACCUGCCCUUGACUUUGGGAUAACUUCAGGGAACUGGGGCUAAUACCGGGUAGGAGCUCCUGCUGCAUGGUGGUGGUUGGAAAGUUUCGGCGGUUGGGGAUGGACUCGCGGCUUACCGGCUUGUUGGUGGGGUAGUGGCUUACCAAGGCUUUGACGGGUAGCCGUCCUGAGAGGGUGACCGGCCACAUUGGGACUGAGAUACGGCCCAGACUGCUACGGGAGGCAGCAGUGGGGAAUAUUGCACAAUGGGCGGAAGCCUGAUGCAGCAACGCCGCGUGCGGGAUGACGGCCUUCGGGUUGUAAACCGCUUUCGCCUGUGCCGAAGCGUGAGUGACGGUAAUGGGUAAAGAAGCACCGGCUAACUACGUG
Molecule: ribosomal RNA, 468 nt
Filed under: uncultured bacterium
Lineage: Bacteria
Description: partial 16S ribosomal RNA
Rfam family: Bacterial small subunit ribosomal RNA
Source: RNAcentral